GACGAACGCUGGCGGCGUGCUUAACACAUGCAAGUCGAACGGAAAGGCCCUGCUUUUGUGGGGUGCUCGAGUGGCGAACGGGUGAGUAACACGUGAGUAACCUGCCCUUGACUUUGGGAUAACUUCAGGAAACUGGGGCUAAUACCGGAUAGGAGCUCCUGCUGCAUGGUGGGGGUUGGAAAGUUUCGGCGGUUGGGGAUGGACUCGCGGCUUAUCAGCUUGUUGGUGGGGUAGUGGCUUACCAAGGGUUUGACGGGUAGCCGGCCUGAGAGGGUGACCGGCCACAUUGGGACUGAGAUACGGCCCAGACUCCUACGGGAGGCAGCAGGGGGGAAUAUUGCACAAUGGGCGGAAGCCUGAUGCAGCAACGCCGCGUGCGGGAUGACGGCCUUCGGGUUGUAAACCGCUUUCGCCUGUGACGAAGCGUGAGUGACGGUAAUGGGUAAAGAAGCACCGGCUAACUACGUG
This 468-nucleotide ribosomal RNA is filed under the name uncultured bacterium. RNAcentral's name for it is "partial 16S ribosomal RNA". It matches the Rfam family "Bacterial small subunit ribosomal RNA", at positions 28 to 507 of the family's 1533-position model. The record is from RNAcentral.